AAUUAGGGUGAAGAGGAGGCCAGUGGACACGCGGUGUGAUUAAAUUUAGAUCUGGAGGGAGAUCUUGACCCCGCGUGCCCCUCAUCUAAGUGACAUUUAGCCAGGAUAACCACACUGCAGCUGAGGCUUAUUAACCUUUUGUGGGCCUGAACACCACUGACUGGCUUAAUUGGCAGAUGGAUUAUUAAAUAGAGCAACUUCAAGAUGAUUGAACAUCUCAUAUCUACAACGCACAGGCGUCCUCCUGCACCUCUGUGAUCAGCUGUGGCUACUUACCCCCCAUGUAGGCUGUCUCCGAUGCUCUAUAUGGAAAAUCAAACCCCUGACACUGAAAAAAAAAAAAAGAAAGAGCAGGCGUUAAAAAUACAAGAGAGGACUGGUGUGCAUUUCAUCUUCUGUGUCUUGUUUCAAAAUACCAAACGGAAAGAUGCGUCGCAUCAUAUUUGAUGAUACCAGAUAUUGCAAGCCAGUUUGAAUGCGCAGAAGUAUGACUGUCAUUUGUGAAGAAGAAAAGGUUUCCAGUCCAAAUAUCUGAACGGAAAAAGGAAACAAGUUUGAAAGGAAC
Cyprinus carpio carpio is the source of this 565-nucleotide long non-coding RNA. The record is from Ensembl. Lineage: Eukaryota; Metazoa; Chordata; Actinopteri; Cypriniformes; Cyprinidae.